Molecule: ribosomal RNA, 492 nt
Filed under: uncultured bacterium
Lineage: Bacteria
Description: partial 16S ribosomal RNA
Rfam family: Bacterial small subunit ribosomal RNA
Source: RNAcentral
AGUGAACGCUGGCGGUAGGCCUAGCACAUGCAAGUCGAACGGCAGCACAGUAAGAGCUUGCUCUUACGGGUGGCGAGUGGCGGACGGGUGAGGAAUACAUCGGAAUCUACUUUUUCGUGGGGGAUAACGUAGGGAAACUUACGCUAAUACCGCAUACGACCUACGGGUGAAAGCAGGGGAUCUUCGGACCUUGCGCGAUUGAAUGAGCCGAUGUCGGAUUAGCUAGUUGGCGGGGUAAAGGCCCACCAAGGCGACGAUCCGUAGCUGGUCUGAGAGGAUGAUCAGCCACACUGGAACUGAGACACGGUCCAGACUCCUACGGGAGGCAGCAGUGGGGAAUAUUGGACAGUGGGCGCAAGCCUGAUCCAGCCAUACCGCGUGGGUGAAGAAGGCCUUCGGGUUGUAAAGCCCUUUUGUUGGGAAAGAAAAGCAGCAGGUUAAUACCCCGCUGUUCUGACGGUACCCAAAGAAUAAGCACCGGCUAACUUCGUG